Long non-coding RNA from Prunus dulcis (almond), 946 nucleotides. RefSeq lists it as uncharacterized. Lineage: Eukaryota; Viridiplantae; Streptophyta; Magnoliopsida; Rosales; Rosaceae. The record is from RefSeq and is a predicted model, not a curated record. The transcript is spliced from 3 exons.
CAACUCAAGCUUCAAUUUGUUUUCUUCAGUUUCGGCUGCUUCGUCCUCCGAGUUCGGCACCGAAAAAAUACCCAACCCGCCUAGGAGCUCGUCCAGCCGCCUAGAGCCCGCCUAGCCGCCUAGGCCGAUUUUUUGAACACUGCGAUUGCCUGAAAGUCUGAAACCCGAAAUUGAAAAAAUUUAGCUGCAAAUUUGAGCUUGAGAUUGAGAUUGGGAAGCCCAAGUCAGUUCCAUAGAAGAAGAGAUCAUGAGAGUCUUAAUUCAUCUAUUCCGUUCCUCUCCCUGUUUCCCGCCUUAUUCUCUUCUCUCUUGGCUCUCACCCAAACAACAUGUUCACCUCACCACACCAACGACGACAAUUCCUCCCUCUGCCAACUCCGCCUUAUUCUCUUCUCUCUUCGCAUUGACGACAUGGCGCAGAAGAAAAAAAUACAAAAUUUGCUGAGUUGGUGUCUGUCUUCAGUGGAAGGAAAUGAUGAAGCUAUCCUAUGAUGGAGUUUCUAUGGUCUUGCCAAUAACAAGGAUGAAAGUGAAGUUUUCUUUAGGAUCAAAAGAAGUACAAAGCUACAGAAACUGGUUGAUGCUUUGUAUACCACGUUCCCUGGAUCCUGAAUCAUUAAUAAUUUUGUUUGAGAACGACCACAUUCACAAGCACAAGACUGCUGAGGAGAUUUGCACAAACUGCGUUGGAGAUUCCCACAAACUGCAUUGCAGUUUCCACAAAAUGCAUUGCAGUUUUCGUUUCCGUUUAAUUACAUUGGGCUACGUUAAUUGGAUAUUGGUAUGAUUUUUUAAGUUAAUUUGAUAGUUUGUUUAUUUAUUUACUUAUGUUUUAGUUAGAUUGUAGAUUGGUCAUUGUUUUGUCGUCGUUCUUUAGCGUCUUUGUGUUUAUGUUAUGUUUUGUUAUGGAAUAAUAAUUGUAUCAUAGUUUCUGUUUUUGAAUUCA